CCUACGGGAGGCAGCAGUGGGGAAUUUUGGACAAUGGGCGCAAGCCUGAUCCAGCAAUGCCGCGUGAGUGAAGAAGGCCUUCGGGUUGUAAAGCUCUUUUAUCAGGGAAGAAACGGUGGGGGCUAAUAUCUCCUACUAAUGACGGUACCUGAAGAAUAAGCACCGGCUAACUACGUGCCAGCAGCCGCGGUAAUACGUAGGGUGCAAGCGUUAAUCGGAAUUACUGGGCGUAAAGCGUGCGCAGGCGGUUUUGUAAGUCUGUCGUGAAAGCCCCGGGCUCAACCUGGGAAUUGCGAUGGAGACUGCAAGGCUUGAAUCUGGCAGAGGGGGGUAGAAUUCCACGUGUAGCAGUGAAAUGCGUAGAGAUGUGGAGGAACACCGAUGGCGAAGGCAGCCCCCUGGGUCAAGAUUGACGCUCAUGCACGAAAGCGUGGGGAGCAAACAGGAUUAGAUACCCUGGUAGUCCACGCCCUAAACGAUGUCUACUAGUUGUCGGGUUUUAAUUAACUUGGUAACGCAGCUAACGCGUGAAGUAGACCGCCUGGGGAUACGGUCGCAAGNUUAAAACGUCAAAGGAUUGACGG
RNAcentral lists this ribosomal RNA (584 nucleotides) under uncultured bacterium. Its description in RNAcentral is "bacterial SSU rRNA". It matches the Rfam family "Bacterial small subunit ribosomal RNA", at positions 338 to 916 of the family's 1533-position model. The record is from RNAcentral.